This is a long non-coding RNA of Salarias fasciatus (jewelled blenny), 102 nucleotides long. RefSeq lists it as uncharacterized. NCBI's taxonomy places the organism in Eukaryota, Metazoa, Chordata, Actinopteri, Blenniiformes, Blenniidae. The record is from RefSeq and is a predicted model, not a curated record. The transcript is spliced from 3 exons.
CCACCCAAAACAAAAAUCCUUCCUUCAAACCAACGUUCCCACAUGAUUUCAUUCUCAUGGAUAGCUGCUGAAGAGAUAAAUGAAGCUGACAUUGACUCACGA